UUCUCUGGAGAGUCCCGAUCAAAAAAGCGGGCGCCGAAGGUGUACGGAAAAAAUUAUUUUUUCCAAUCUCUCAGGCAAAAGGACAGGGCGGAA
This 93-nucleotide non-coding RNA is filed under the name human gut metagenome. RNAcentral's name for it is "Glycine riboswitch". It matches the Rfam family "Glycine riboswitch aptamer", at positions 9 to 86 of the family's 94-position model. Rfam says of the family: This family represents the bacterial glycine riboswitch. Glycine riboswitches usually consist of two metabolite-binding aptamers domains with similar structures in tandem. The record is from RNAcentral.